Molecule: ribosomal RNA, 253 nt
Filed under: uncultured bacterium
Lineage: Bacteria
Description: partial 16S ribosomal RNA
Rfam family: Bacterial small subunit ribosomal RNA
Source: RNAcentral
GACGAACCGAGCGAACGUUGUUCGGAAUCACUGGGCUUAAAGGGCGCGUAGGCGGGCCCGCCAGUCUGUGGUGAAAUCCUCCGGCUCAACCGGAGAACUGCCUCGGAUACUGCGGGUCUCGAGGGUGAUAGGGGUAUGCGGAACUAUCGGUGGAGCGGUGAAAUGCGUUGAUAUCAUCAGGAAUACCGGAGGCGAAGGCGGCUCACUGGGGGUUUUCUGACGCUGAGGAACGAAAGCCAGGGGAGCGAACGGG